Dromaius novaehollandiae (emu) is the source of this 10993-nucleotide long non-coding RNA. RefSeq lists it as uncharacterized. The record is from RefSeq and is a predicted model, not a curated record. The transcript is spliced from 2 exons. Lineage: Eukaryota; Metazoa; Chordata; Aves; Casuariiformes; Dromaiidae.
UUGGUGGAGGAGGAGCCAGGUGAAAAAAAUCCAGUGUGAACACUCACAGAAGUUGAUGAGACAGCUCCUCCCAGCCUUUCCCCACAUCUCCAUGCCACCACCAAACCUCUGGUAUCCUUCAGGGAACCUCCCACAUCAGCAUGGAAGAACAUAAAAACUGCCCUCCUGGGUCAGACCAGUGGUCCAGGUAGCCCAGUACUGUCUGACAGUGGCAGUAGGAGAGGCUGUUUAGGGAGAACACACAAGCCUUGCCACUCUGUAUGGUCCCAUCCCCUCAUACUCCCCCAUCACCCACAAUCAUUGAGGUUGUUAGAGGGGACAUCCCUGCCUAGUCUCUUUAGUAUCACUUUAUAGGCUUGUUGUCCAGGAAUUGGCCUAGUCCCUUUUAACCCAGCUGAUCAUUCCACAACCUCCUGUACUUAUUGAGCCCUAACCAUGUGAGACUUCCCUUAGCAGCUGUGCAGGGGGGGGCAUGGCGGCUUACAGAGUCUCUGCAGGGAGAAUGAUCAUCCACUGGUCCCCUCUCUUCCUUGUCUGUCAUCCAGGCUUCACAGUGCCCCUUGUAGAGGGUGCGGGGAGAGGCAGCUGUACAAAUCUCAUGCUCUUACAAUUGAUUAUGACAUAAAUCUAGACAUGUCCAUCUUUAAACAGGAACAGGCAAAUCUCUUUAAUACCAGCUCUGCCUGGCUGAGCUCUUGCAUGGAUCUGGCACAUUCCUGUUCAGGCUCAAACACUUGAACUGAUGCUCUAAUUCACUGAAGGAAGGGGACAGGAGAUGGAACCAGAGAGCUGCAGACUGCUGAGGUCGAAGAGCCUUUAGUACCUUCAGCAGGGGUCAAAUUUUGCUGAGCAAGAGCAGGUGAGCCAUUUUCUUCUGCAGCUGGGAAAUUCUGAUGGGCCUUGAUGUAACAACAGCAAGAUGCCGGGGGGGUCACACCAGUACCAGCAUGUGGGCACACAGAAGGAUAGAGAUUGGCUUUUCAGAAACUGUCACCUCCUGCCUCCCCCAGGAGGAGCUGGCCUCUCCAAGCUCUUGGGAAGAGACACAGAAAGGCAUUUGUCUUGUGCUGGACAUGUCUGAAUAUUCACUUGCUCGGUAAGAUGAACUGUAGUUGAGCUCCGCAGUCUCUGGAAGAGAGGGCUGGUGUCAGGCAAGAUGGCUGUAAGAAGGUACACAGAGCUAGACGAACUAUCCUAAAGUGCAUUGCUGAAGCCAAACGCUGCCUCUUGAUGGGCCCCAGAACACAGUGCAAAGGUCCAAACCCUACUGUGGAAAGGUCAAGAGAAGGGAUGGGCUUCAGUCAUGGAUUUUAAGACUGGAAGGACCUUUCUGGCCCAGGCUCAGAGACUCCUAUGCCUGCAUGGGAGAGAGGUUGGCACAGUGCCCUUGUGUUGGUAGGCCUUGUGGAAAAGCUGACCUAAAAGGCCAAGAAGAAAUGUAUUUUCCCCAUUGAUGUAUAACAUGGCUCCUGGGCCAUUGUUUUUUCUUGCAGUUCCCUGAAGUACUGGAGAUACUUGUUGCUUUCUCCCAUUGGGUGUUCCCAUCCCAAGAUCACCUGGGAGAUUUAGUUAAUGAAUCCCCACUAUCACAGGACCUUAGGACAUUGUCCAUGUCCCAGAUUUUUCUGCCUCACUCACUGCCAUGUUACAAUCUUCUGCUGCAGGCCUCAAGCUUGUCACUGGGUGUUGGGAAGGGCUUUGCGGGCAUUUCUAUGAAAUGGAAAUUCAUAUUUAGAGACAUGCCACAAAUGGUUGAAUGCAUCAUUAAACCCCACCAUGGCUGAACUGCAGGGUGAGGAGUCAUUGGCCUGGAGGAAGAACCCACUGUAGCGCAGAGAACCCUCACAGAUCCUCCUGAUAGCAGGUCACAGGUGACAUUACCCUAUGGACUGAGAGGGCUGUGUGUAUCGCAUUGUGACUUCAUGUUCCCUAUCCUGGUCUGGGAGUGUGGUGGACAGAUGAGUGAACUUUUGCCUUAAACAUUUCUUGGUACGUAAGGUGCAAGCAAACCAUAACCCCGAACAAGCCAUCUGUUCCCGGCGGAAACAGGACUGAGCUGCUGCGACCCCUGAAACGGUCUCCCUGCGACCACUCAGGACACACCGAGCCUGCGCCGAACCAGGGCACGAUCGGACAGAGACUUUGGGACCUGGACUGCAAAUUACUGCCACUUAGCACAACUUUUAUAAAACUUGCUUAGCAUGAGUAGCUAAAUUUGCUGAAGCCUUAGGCCGCACUCCCUAGUUCAGUGAGAAAGGGCCCCAGAGCUGGUGCAGACUGGAAAGAUAAGGGAGUUACAAGCAGUUUGCAUUCCUGUGUGUCACACUCCGGGAGGGAGGAUGUCAAGGCUUUGAAGUGAGGCCUGCUUGGGCGCCAGGACCCUGGGAAACAAAGCCUCCCCUCACUGCUGAAACAGUGUUAAUUAGGGGGGGUCUGGAUUAUAUCCUCUUCUUCAGGACCUUGGAAGAUAACACCUAAUGUCACUGCUGGGGCAGUGCUAAUUGCUGGAACAACACCUGUUGGUCAGGGCCCUGAGAAAGAAGGGCAGAACCCGAGGAAUCAAAACACAUCCGUCAGCAGAAACCGCAACAGUAAAGAUAAGGGAGAAAAGCAGCCUGCCUGGGAACAACGAUGAGACCCAAUAGGGAGCAGGAGACCCCAGACCCAAAAAUUACUAUUGGUCUGAACUACCGUGUGAGGGGCGGGAAACUUAAUUUGAAAAAGCUAUAAUUGCCCAGGGAUUUCUUUGUUCGGGGUCCCUCUUCGGAGGCACCCAACUCGAGCUGUAACUACUGCACGCGUGUCAUUACAAUUUAUUUAUUUAAUUUGCCUUGAUUUGGCUCUGAACUUUUCAGUGGGAACCUAGGGUCGGACCCUGCUCGAGUUGUAAUUACUGCACGCGCAUCGCUAAAAUUUACACCCAGGGUGAAGAGGACCAACGGGACGCCGCUGGAUCCACGGGUGGUAUUUGCUUCAUCUGGGCAGAUUGGACUCAAUCAGGAAGUCACAAGACGUAAGUGUUUGGUCAGAGCAUAGAGUCCUCCAGGUAAGACAGACCUUUUACUUUCACCACAGCCAUUCACAAGGAGGUAGCAGUAUCUCAAUUUGACAGCUGGGGAAACUGAGGCAUGGGGCAGUGACUUGCUGGGUCAACCUGGUGGUGUUUAGUCUUUCAGACUUGGAGGGGAGGAGAGGUUGGGGGGGGGGGUACCUGUUGUAUCCCUUGUGCAAAGAAUGAGCAAGGAGCUGGGCAAUCCAUCUAGUCAUGGGCCUGAUAGAUGGAGCAGCCAUGCCUUAGAACCUCUGCCCAAAGGUUUAUAGCCAGGUGAUGAAAAAAUGAGGUAGCUCAGCAGAUGAGGGCAAAGUAUUUACAGGUUUGAGUCAUAUAGGUAAGGAUGAUAACUCAGCCCUGCUCAGAAGGGAGUAAAUGGAAGACGCUAAGAGUUAGAUGGCCUUGGGUCACAAAAUGCAGUGGCAAAUGUAUUGGUGCCCAUUUCUGUCAGGCUUGACCUUGCCCUUCCUGAAACAGCCAGUAUUUCCCCACUACCUGCUAGGCUGCAGCACUGUCUGCCCAUUAUUUUAAAGGAGAACAUCAGCGAAAAGGUCCUUUCUCCCUCCACCUUGUUUAUUUGAGAGUGUUUUAAAACCAAAUGAGUCACUUUGUAAAAAUCACUUUGAAAAGCCACAGGCUGAAGCCAGAUAUUAAAAACAAUAACCAAUUGCCUGAUUAUUCCUCUCAGACUGCUAACAACUGACAUCGUUUCUCGAUGGGUUUCAUUUGCUUAAGCCCACAGAAAACUGUGCAUGGUUCAAUGAAAACUGAAUAUCACUCUCCCAAGAGCUCAUGAAAACUUUCACAAAGGUUGGUAACUUUUCCCUCUGAGAAGCUUUUCAGCAGCAGGGACUGAGCCUGGGCUGAAACUUGUUUCCAGCAGGGAAUGAAUAGCACACCGACCUCUUCAACAAAGGUGGUGAAAGUUCAGGUCUUCUCUUUGGCAAACAAAGACCCUAUAACCACCCCGAUAUCUGCUGGAGGGACAACACAGCAGGGCACAAGCAAUCCAGGAGGUGUCUGGAGUGCAUUGAGGACAACUUCCUAACACAGGUGAUCAAGGAGCUGACAAGGGGAGAUGCUCUGCUGGACCUGAUACUUCCAAACAAGGAAGGACUGGCCAGGGAUGUGAAAGUUGGGGGCAGCCUUGGCUGCAGUGACCAUGAGAUAGUGGAGUUGAGGAUCCUGCAAGGAGGGAGCAGGGCAAAAAGCAGAAUCACAACCCUGGACUUCAGGAGAGCAGACUUUUACCUCUUCAGGGACCUGCUUGGAAGAAUCCCAAGGGAGACAGCCCUGGAGAGAAGAGAGGUCCAGGAGAGCUGGUUGAUAGUCAAGGACCACCUCCUUCAAGCUCAAGAAUGGUCCAUCCUGGUGAGCAGGAAAUCAAGGAAAGGUGCCAGGAGGCCUGCACAGGUGAACAAGGAGCUCCUGAUUAAGCUCAAACAUAAAAAGGAAGCGUACAAGAGCUGGAAGCAAGGACAAGGGACCCAGGAGGAAUACAGAGACAUUGCCCGAGUGUGCAGGAAUGGAGUUAGGAAAGUCAAAGCCCAUCUGGAGCUGGCUGAUGUCAUUGCGAGGCCACUCUCAAUUACCUUUGAAAGGUCAUGGUGAUCAGGAGAGGUUCCUGAAGACUGGAAGAGAGCAAACAUCACUCCUAUCUUCAAGAAGGGAAAGAAGGCAGAUCCAGGGAACUACAGGCCAGUCAGCCUCACUUUGAUCCCUGGGAAGGUGAUGGAGCAAAUAAUCCUGGAAACCAUUUCCAAGUACAAUAAGGACAAGAAGGUGAUCAGGAGUAGUCAGCAUGGAUUUACGAAGGGGAAAUCAUGCCUGACCAAUCUGACAGCCUUCUACAAUGAGAUGACUGGCUCAGUGGAUGAGGGGAGAGCAGUGAAUGUUGUUUAGCUCAACUUUAGCAAGGUUUUCUGUUAGGAAUUGCCAAAUCCAGUAGGCUGAUAGAGGUGAGGCUGCUGCAGCUCCUGUCCCCAGGUCCAGCCAGUAGUGAGGCUGAGCAUGUAUUCCCAAUAGGCACACAUGCACACACUACAUAUAUACAUAUAUACGUGGCCAGCCACAUAGAUCAACACAGACAGAAAACACAAGCAAGCACAAACGGCACCAACAGCCUCAUCUUUUCCCCUUCUUUAGCUGAUCAGGAUGAAAGCCUUUUAGUGGAAAAUAUAUGCAUAUAUAUAUAUACACAUACAUAUACAAUAUGGAUCCCUCCAAUGGCUGGUCUUAGACACUCAGUCUAUCUAGUAGAUAGAUCCAGCCCCUGGAUCCCCUGGUCUCCCAAUUGCCUCAUGCACAGACACAUACACACACCAGGUCUCUCCACAAGCUGGUUCAGAACUAUGGCCUUACCAGUAGCCGACAUGUUCUCUCUGGUAGCCAACUCUCAGACUCUCUGGUCUCUCCAGUAUCUGGCCCAGACUUACAGCUGUUCCAAUACUUGGCUCCAAAGCCUCUUAUCCUACUUGACAGCUAGUCUGGCUUGAUGUUUGCUAGCAAUUGCACACUGACAUACACAUACAACAUGCAUGCAGUCCAUGUCUCUCCAGUUGCUGGCACCCCAGACACAUGGGCCUCUGUGACCUGUGGCCCUCACUCCAGUGGCUGGCACUUAGCCCUCCAUACACGCACGCACACACAGAAUAGAGAGCCCCUCACCCAGGAAAAUAGUUAGAAAUGGAGUCUAAUGAGAAGACAGGCCAGACUGCGCUCAUCAGGCACGAGGCAUGGCCAGACAAGCAUACUGACCAGCAGCCUCUUUACAUGCAACUGGCUCCUUUUAUCCCUUUAUCCUUGUUUCCUCAUGCUUGUUCCUCCCCAAUCCACCUUGAUCUCUCCCUUUCCCUGCCUUUGGUCUUGCCCCUAAACAUCCCAUAAUGUUUUUUACGUUUCCACAAUCCACUUAGAACACCCCAUAAUUCCUAUUCGUUCCACAAAUCCUCUUCCCCUGUAUCCCAUAAUAAGUCACAUAUGCCUUUAGGCAAUCGUCCCCUUUUGUUUGAAAAGUAUCCCAGUGGGAGUUUCCCUGUUUCUUACCAAGGAUGGUGCACUAAUUGUUCCCCUUGGGUGGACUUAGGGAAUAGCAGAUUCCAUGUGCUCUGGUUUCAAGGACUAGCUUACUAGGUUCCUCCAUUUAUCAUUGUUCUUCUAAUCUUCACUGGGUCUCUGUGUUUAGACUAUUUUAUAAACAUUAAGCCAACAAUUAUUGUUACAUUUUUCAAAUCUGCACUUAUUUCAAAGCAUACAUGAAGGGAAAGAGUAGGAAAGAAAGUUGAAGUAAAUAACAGACAUUUUCACAGCCUUAUUGCAGUUUGUAAAAUGCAUCAACUACAAGUAAGCAACUCACUGCUCCAACAGUUGAGAGAUUAACAUACAGCUCUAGACAGACAGGUGGGAGGUGGCACAAGGUCAGGACUACCAGAUUACUGAUUUCUCAGUUCCAACAUUUCUGCAUAAUCAGAGUUUGUCAUUUAUCCUAUUCAACAGGCAUAUGAAACAUGUACCAAUCAUCUCUCAAGUAGGUAGGUGCUGAGCUGGCAGGACUGAGAUAGAGUAGCUUCUGCAGUGCUUCCAGCCAUCAGCAACUGAAAUAUAGCAUGGGACUUCUCCUCACAAGGGGAAGCAAACAGUAGCCAGAAGGCUACAUGGCAGGACAAUGCACUCUAAGAAUGCCCUUUACACCAGGGGGGACCAAAUUUCUGUUCUGCUACAUAUUGCAUCUCUCACUUGGAGAAGUUAUUUAUGACUUGGUGGAAAGGGAGCUGGACAUGCACUCUUAGUCUGCUACCUCAGUGGGAUUAUUUACCUCAGGUGAAAUGGGCAAGGGAAGAUUUUUCCUUCAAAAGCCUUUUGAAGGUCUAUGAUCACCCAUAUGUAUAAAUGCCAGCCCUCACAUUAAAAUGACUUAAUCCCAACUACUUAAACAUUGGGGUGCCACUGCACCAAACAACUACCUGCCUGCAUCUAUGAAGGAAAGUUGCAAAUGAAGGCAACAACACUUAGAGAUUUAUUAUUGUAUUAAAAAGGAUAAAAACAUAUAUUAAACCACUAUUUUAAUUACAUUCCCUAUUCAUAAAUAACUGUUUGCUCUCACAGAAUUAUUUAAGAUCAUGUGUCUAAGAAGACAUAUAUAUAUAUUUGUUUGUUUGUUUUUUGACUACCCCAAGAAACCAUGUAUGAAAAAUGCAGAGUUGGGUGACCACACAGAGCCACAGGGACUUACAUGCUAAGCAGCUCCUUCCCAGGUCCACCAGGAAAAUGCACCAGCCUCAGCAUUUUGUUGGGUUACAGUGUUCCUCAGAGGUGUUUCUCAGGGUAGCAAGAGAACAAAAUGUCACCAGUCCUUUACUGAUGAGAAGUUGAUUUUGUUUAAGCCUCAGAGGCAGAUCUUUGGAUUUGAAAAUAUUUUUCAUUUACAGAGAAGCUCUGGGAAGGUAUCUGUUCUCCUUGCAUUUAAACAGUAUUUCUUUCUUUAAAAUAGAAGCACAGUUCUACGGGCAUACAAUAGCAUGAGUACCAUACACAGAAGUCUUGUACGUGACUUGGCAGAGAACCCACGCAUCUGAAACAAGAGGCAGCCACUCUCCAUCACAGGUUCAAGAGCUGAAUUCUGGGAAGGAAUUUGGUGCAUCUCUCCUCUGCCACCCACAGGAAAAAGGGUGGAGACUGCAGCAUUAUAGGGUCUGCACAGCCACUGGAUAGAGAAGUGACAAGUGUUCUGCUCCUCUGAUGGGCAGCUUUUUUGUGGUGUAGUAGUGGAUGACUUUGGGAACGCUGUCAAAGGGAGGGCUGUUCUGACCCAGGAUGUAUUUCUCUUUGGAUUUCAUCAGUUUCAUGUGCAUAAAGCCUUGGCUGCUCCUGCAAGGAAAGCAAAAAGUUAGUACACGCAAGCAGGAGGGCAGCAUCAGGACAGGCUUUUCUCUAUGCUGCAGGGAAACAUAGGAUAACAAUGCAAGAGGUGCUUUUAUAUGGCUUAGUCACAGUUCAAGAGCAUGGCUGCAUUCCCCUCUGCCAACAACCUGAUGGAAAGGGAAGCUACAGCUAGAUUUUGUUUUCACCACCUACGCUCUGUGACAUUUCAGCCUUUUCCUGCAGGGCAAGUCCUAGGCUGCCUUGUACUGGAGCCAAGCCAGUGGCUAGUCAGAGGACACCCCACCCCCUCCACCCCCUAUUUUCCCCUUCCACUUUGGCCAGCCCCCUACCUCAGUGCUAGCUGGGGACAUGGGCUGGGGCCUUUAAGAGUCCCAACCAAGUCUCUCUUCUCAGCAACUUAUACAGGCUGAAAGGCUCACUGGGGUGAGGCAAGAUCUUCACCAUUGCAAGAGACUCCUCAGGGCAAGCAAUACCCAACCCAGCCCUGGCAGCAACUGCCCAGAAUGGUCCAAUGUUUCUAGAGACCCAGUGCCUAUAGUCAGGAGAACUUCCCUGAGCUUCAGAUGAGCCCAGUCCUAAGAGCAACAGCACAGCAACUUUCACAGAGCAGAGAAAUGCUCCUCUCUUGCUGCAGCUUUUAAAAUAGCAAGGAAGAAAGAGGCACAGAGCACAAGCAAAAUGCUAUGGUUAUGAAUUCAUGCCAGAACAGUUGUUGCCUUUUCAGUAACCAGCUGCCCUGAGAUAUCUGGUUGGACAAUAUACGGGUCAUUGACCUUGCAAUAGGUAACUUUGGGAGGUUCCCAUUAAGAGAAGGAAGCAUCUCCUCUUGCUCACAACAGGCCAACCUUUCAGGCCACAUGUCCUCUUAUGGAAGCGCAUGAGGGCCAUAUGAAACACAAUGAGACCCAGGAAUUAUAAACAGAUACCUCAUGGAAUUCAAAGACAAAUGCAAAAUCCUGCACCUGGGCUGAAACAAUCCCAAUGCACUGAUACAGGCUGGGGAGCAGCUCUGCAGAAAAUAAUCUGGGGGUCCUGGUGGACAAGUUGAAUAUGAGUCAGCAGUGUGCCCUUGUGGCAAAGGAGGCCAACAGUAUCUUGGGCCAUAUUACCAAGAGUGUAGCCAGCAGGUCGAGGGAAAUUAUUAUUCCCCUCUAAUUGGCAUUGGUGAGAUAAUGUCUGGAGUAUUGUGUCCAGUUUUGGGCUCCCUAGUACAAUAGAAAUGUUGGCAAACUGGAGUAAAUCCAGUGGAGGGCCACCAUGAUUGUUGGGGGCUGGAGCACAUGACAUAAGGAGAGGCUGAGAGAGAUGGGCAAAGGGAGAUCUGGUUACAGUCAUCCACUACCUAAAGGGGGGGUUAUAGGGAAGACAGAGCCGGACUCCUCUCAAAGGUGCACGGCGAAAGGACAAGACACAAAGGGCACAAGUUGCAGCAAGGACAUUCCAGUGGGACAUAAAAGUUCUUCCCUCUGUGACUGGUGCAGCCCUGGGACAGGUGCCCAGAAAGGUGGUGGGAUUCCCAUUCUUGGAGAUGGUCAAAACGUGACUGGACAAGGCCCUGAGCAACUUGAUCUAGCUUUGGGGUUAGCCUGUUGGCGCAAUAGGAAUUCCUAAGACAGUGGUUUUCUUCUUUAAAAGCAAGCUUUGCUUACUCGCUAAUUUGCUCUAACUGAUCAAGGCCUAAGUACUGAACAGGAUUGGCUGGAAAUAUAUAAAUCUAAUUGCUAUUCACUAUCCCCUCUCUCUCUGGGCCAAGGUCAUCUUGAGUCAAAAAAAGGUCAGGCUAUAGUUAAACUGAAAGCUCUUCAAAAAAUGUUUUAUAUGACUUUGGGGAUAUCCUCUCUUAAGAGGUCUCCAGAAAAGUUUCCAAAGGAAAUUUUGAUGCAAGUAGUAAACUUACUGCAAGGGGAAGGUGGGGGACACCUCUCUUUACAUGCCAAGGAAAAAUGCCAUAAUGCCAUCUUAGCUAUAACUAAUGGCAAGGGCCCCAGUCCAUCCUGCGAGAUAUUCUGCUAUGAAGUCAGCAAUCAGGACAUCCCCUUAAUUUUAAAGGGAAGGAAAACACACUAUCAUAAUCAGAUGGGAAGAGAGAAUAAAAGUACAGUGUGGAGGAAUAACGUACAGUAUUCAGCAAGCAGAUUAUACAGAAAAACUGAACACAAUUUAUCUUAAUCAUAAGUAUGGCCACUACAAUAAUUUCCUUUGCCUUUGUGGAAAAUAGGGGCAAUAUACCUCAAAACAAAAGGUCUCUGGGGAACAAUCAUCAUAAGACAAACAUCUGAAAAAGGCUGAUACCUGACAACACUCCAAGGGGACUUAAAAGAAUAGGACAGCAUCACAAAGCCAUGGGUCUUGGGGCCCACCAUCUGUACCCUAUGCAACCCUUUUAUCACCAGCUUCAGCUUCCAUGUCAAUGAAUUUACUGAAGUCACCAUCAACAGAAGGAAAUAGUUAAAACUGCAGUCAUCUUCAGAGCCAGUGGCCAGAUGCCAGCAUAUGUCCAUACACUCCAACAUCAGUCAGGAAGUGCUUUGUGACACCUAAAAAGUCACUUCCUGGAAACACAGGCCACACACUGUACCCAGAGUUGCAGAGCUGUGCAGACCAUGUCAGAGCAGCAUCUAAGGAAAGGAUCCAGUUUGACACAGAAUAAUUCAGGUUGUAAGGGAUCCCUAGAGGUCGCUAGUACAACCCCUGCUUAAAGCAUUGCCAGAACCAGAAGCCAGAACAGAGCCUUAAAAAAGCAGAGGAUCCAACCAGCUACAGAAUUAUUUACAGAGAACAGCUGCCCAUCUUUGCAUGGUGACACCAAACAACUCCAUAGCUAUGAUAAAGUUCUUAUACCAUAAAAGAUUUUUUUAAAGUUAGUCAAACAACUGACAAAUCUGCAAGGUCAUAAUGACAAUAAGUUAUGGGUGACAGGUAGGAAUUGUGUACUGCAUUCUUAUUAACUAACACCAUCAGUAAAUAUUGUGUAUGUUUAUACUGGGCUACCAGACACACUGUGGCACCUAGUGCUGUUUCACAUGCCAUAAAUGCAUGAUUAAAAUAAUCUAAAAGUGA